RNAcentral lists this ribosomal RNA (1077 nucleotides) under Triticum aestivum (bread wheat). RNAcentral describes it as "partial small subunit ribosomal RNA". Lineage: Eukaryota; Viridiplantae; Streptophyta; Magnoliopsida; Poales; Poaceae. The record is from RNAcentral.
AUGGCCAUGUUCGCGAUGGAGAGCGUCAUGCUGCCGGCGAGCAUGGUGCUGGUGCAGCUCUUCUCGAUCUUGCUAGUGCUUCUCUCCAAGCUCGCCCUCAACAUCGGCAUGCGGCCCUUCGUCCUCCUCGCCUACCGGAACCUCAUCGGCGCCGCCGCCAUCGCGCCCCUCACCUUCGUCUUCGAGAGGAAAAAAGCGAAAAUCCCAAACCUCAUAGAGUGGGGCUGGAUUUCCAUGAAUGCCACAUCCGGGGUUAUCCUGGCAAUGGGGCUGUACUACUAUGGACUGCGCGGCACCAACGCCACCUACUCCGUCGUCUUCCUCAACCUCAUCCCCAUUGUCACCUCCGUGGUUGCCAUCCUACUCCGGGCAGAGAAGUUGGUAUUCAGGAAGUGGCAUGGAAAGAUGAAGUUCUUGGGCAUCGUGACCUGUGUCGGGGGAACAAUGGUGGUCAGCCUCUACAAGGGCAAGAUGCUGCACCAUCCUUGGCCGACCCACCUGCUGAGGUCCCAUACUCAGGCGGCCGCAGCUCCAGCAGCUCACCACAACAUGGUCAUCGGCACAUUGUUCCUUUGCGGUAGCUGCCUCGGAUAUGCCUUCUGGUUCAUCAUACAGGUACUGGGUGGCGACGCUGACGUGUCUGUCGGGAAGCCUACAAGCAUUCGUCAUCGGCAUCCUCAUCGACCCUCACACGUCCGCAUGGAGGCUCAAGUGGGACCUGCAGCUCCUAACCAUUGUCUACUCGGGGGUAUUCAACACCGGUUUGCAUUGGUCCUCAUGUCGUGGGCGGUGAAGCGCCGUGGGCCCAUCUACCCCUCCAUGUUUAAUUCCCUCGCGAUGGUAGCGACGGUGAUCAUGGACUCGACACUGCUUGGCACCAGCAUCUUCUUAGGCAGCAUGAUAGGGACGGUGCUGGUCAUUGUGGGGCUAUACACAUUUCUGUGGGGGAAAGGGAAGGAGUUGCAGGAAGCUAUAUCGCUAACGAAGAACGCCGGUGAGAAUGAAGACCCUGGAGACGGUGGUGAGCAUGGUGAGCCAGUGUUGGAGGUGCGUCAUCGCGGCGAUGAAAUAGCAUAG